CAACCCUCAAGCCACGCUUGGUGAUGGGCCCCGCCCGCGGGCGGGCCCGAAACUCGCAGGCGCCACCUCCCGGCCUCAAGCGUAGCAAUACCCUCGCUUGGGCCCCCGGGCGGCGGCUGCCCCGAACGAAUACUCACAAGG
Molecule: unclassified non-coding RNA, 141 nt
Filed under: uncultured Sympodiella
Lineage: Eukaryota; Fungi; Ascomycota
Description: sequence contains ITS2
Source: RNAcentral